This 1372-nucleotide ribosomal RNA is filed under the name uncultured bacterium. RNAcentral describes it as "bacterial SSU rRNA". It matches the Rfam family "Bacterial small subunit ribosomal RNA", at positions 28 to 1381 of the family's 1533-position model. The record is from RNAcentral.
GAUGAACGCUGGCGGCGUGCCUAAUACAUGCAAGUCGAGCGAACGGACGAGAGGCUUGCUUCUCUGAUGUUAGCGGCGGACGGGUGAGUAACACGUGGAUAACCUACCUAUAAGACUGGGAUAACUUCGGGAAACCGGAGCUAAUACCGGAUAAUAUUUUGAACCGCAUGGUUCAAAAGUAAAAGACGGUCUUGCUGUCACUUAUAGAUGGAUCCGCGCUGCAUUAGCUAGUUGGUAAGGUAACGGCUUACCAAGGCAACGAUGCAUAGCCGACCUGAGAGGGUGAUCGGCCACACUGGAACUGAGACACGGUCCAGACUCCUACGGGAGGCAGCAGUAGGGAAUCUUCCGCAAUGGGCGAAGGCCUGACGGAGCAACGCCGCGUGAGUGAUGAAGGUCUUCGGAUCGUAAAACUCUGUUAUUAGGGAAGAAUAUAUGUGUAAGUAACUGUGCACAUCUUGACGGUACCUAAUCAGAAAGCCACGGCUAACUACGUGCCAGCAGCCGCGGUAAUACGUAGGUGGCAAGCGUUAUCCGGAAUUAUUGGGCGUAAAGCGCGCGUAGGCGGUUUUUUAAGUCUGAUGUGAAAGCCCACGGCUCAACCGUGGAGGGUCAUUGGAAACUGGAAAACUUGAGUGCAGAAGAGGAAAGUGGAAUUCCAUGUGUAGCGGUGAAAUGCGCAGAGAUAUGGAGGAACACCAGUGGCGAAGGCGACUUUCUGGUCUGUAACUGACGCUGAUGUGCGAAAGCGUGGGGAUCAAACAGGAUUAGAUACCCUGGUAGUCCACGCCGUAAACGAUGAGUGCUAAGUGUUAGGGGGUUUCCGCCCCUUAGUGCUGCAGCUAACGCAUUAAGCACUCCGCCUGGGGAGUACGACCGCAAGGUUGAAACUCAAAGGAAUUGACGGGGACCCGCACAAGCGGUGGAGCAUGUGGUUUAAUUCGAAGCAACGCGAAGAACCUUACCAAAUCUUGACAUCCUUUGACAACUCUAGAGAUAGAGCCUUCCCCUUCGGGGGACAAAGUGACAGGUGGUGCAUGGUUGUCGUCAGCUCGUGUCGUGAGAUGUUGGGUUAAGUCCCGCAACGAGCGCAACCCUUAAGCUUAGUUGCCAUCAUUAAGUUGGGCACUCUAAGUUGACUGCCGGUGACAAACCGGAGGAAGGUGGGGAUGACGUCAAAUCAUCAUGCCCCUUAUGAUUUGGGCUACACACGUGCUACAAUGGACAAUACAAAGGGCAGCGAAACCGCGAGGUCAAGCAAAUCCCAUAAAGUUGUUCUCAGUUCGGAUUGUAGUCUGCAACUCGACUACAUGAAGCUGGAAUCGCUAGUAAUCGUAGAUCAGCAUGCUACGGUGAAUACGUUCCCGGGUCU